GAGCGAGAGAGGGGAUCCGCGAGCGUUCGACUGUUCCGCUCAGUCCUCGUCCGUCCGCCAGCCGGUAACCUUUCGUAGACGCGCGAUCGACAACUCGCGCGCCGCUUCGCCGAAAGAUCACUCGCUAUAUCUAUCUCUACGAAAACGUCGUUUUUUUUCUUCUCGAGCUCUGCCACGUGAUAAGGUCCCGAUAACGAAAGAUCAAUCGGAUCUAUCGAUCUCGACGCGUCCGACGUUUCAAGCGCGAUCUCAUCGAGAUGCUUUUCGCGAAACUCGCGUGGGAGCCUGCGCCUACCGUCACGGCCGCCAUUUCUGUUUUCCGGGACCGUUUGGAUUUCCUCGUAACAGUGCGUCGCGGGACUUGACGACUACGACAGCCACGGAAGACGGACGCGGAAGACCGGCGGCGGCCACGAGAGAGAAGGAGGGGAGAAUGCAGGAAGACGUCGGCAGCUGUCAUUGAAAAUGUCAUGAGUGGAGAGUCAAGGAAUUCCUGAGCGUGUCAUCUCACGGAUAUUCUAACCAUUGAAGAAUUAUUUUAUAAAGGUAAUAGCCUCUAAUAUUUUCAUCGUUCUAAUAAUCCUGAGGUCCUAGACUGCCAAAUAAGAUGCACGAAAGGCAAUUGCCACAUCUUCGCGAAAGAGCGCAAUGUGGGUCGCGUGGGACGUGGCAAGAUGCUGCUAAACAAGAUCAUAUACGUCGCAAAUAUCUCGCGCUAGCUAUUCGUAAUAUUCCUUAAUCUCUUUUUGCAGACAUUUCAUCUCGAGAUCUUUUGUCACUGUCGUCAUUAUCCGUGCUUUCGUGAUCUUGUUUGCUCCUGUUUCGAAUUAUAACUACUUUGGUUCUUGCGACGUCGAGUCAUUGAUGCUUCUCGGAAGCAUAUACGAUCAAUAUCGCAAGAUGAGUCAUCUUUAUAACGCAAAUAAGAAACAAUUUUUUUUUCCCCUCGCUAGUUCCAGUUGUGGUGUUCAUUGUAACAGGCGAUGACGCUUAACCGUAACGAUUGCUUAAUAUUGUAAAUUGAAGAUUCUUGAAAAGGAUAGCGUCCAUCAUGAAUGGAAAAAUGCCAAAUUUCUUGCGGUAUCUCUAAGUACGUAAUUGCGCAGCUUCGGAAUGUACGUUUCGUCACGAGAAACAGAGAUCCGUCGGAGCGCUGUGAGUUGAGCACUACUGGCAUACUUAGACGCCGCCGCCGACGUCGCGGUUGGAUCUUUAAACUUUAAAAGCCAACACGUUGGCCGCGUAGCUAUUGACGGCUGGACCAGGGCCCUCUCUUCCCACUUCGUUCCGUCCCCCAGCCCCACCCCAACUACGUUGGAGGGCCCUUUCGAAUUUUCUCCCCUCUACUUUCUCCACCUCCACCUUUCUCGUUCUCUGCGUCGGCCUCUUUCUCCUGUUCGCGGGCACUGUGAGGCUACCACCGAGAGCGGCCGCUUCCACCGCGAUUAUGCAAAACAAUUAUUGUGGAAUGCGGUCAGCUGUUCCCAGACGCACGCUGACGUCACGCGCGUGCUCUCUCACCCGGGCACGUGCUCUCGCGACUCCCUAGAAAAAAGCACAGCCAUCCCCCGAAAAUCCACGCCUGGUGUCCGUUCUCUUAACUUUUUCCGUCUUUUCCUCUUUUCUCGCAGACGCGAUUCGCAGCAGCGAAUUAAAUCGGCGAUUUUCCAUAAACUCCCAUAUUUCUAUAAAUUAUCGCUAUCGAUGAGAAGAAAUCGUCGAUUCGAUUUAAUACUGAGACAUCUUCGGGAUAUAUUUUAAGUUAUUUUAAUGAUUUAAACAACGUGACAUAUGUCGAUGUAAGAUGCGAAAAUAAUGUAAUACCGAUAUCUUCUGAUAUAAUAUCUACAAUGUAAGAUAACCCAAUAUCGAAUAAUUCAAUUCUAGUGUAAUACAUCGAGAUAAUAUAUUGAGAUAUCUUUCGUGAGAUAUCCACGUUUACGUUAGAUGUAUACGUUAGAUAUACAAAUAAUACUAUUAUUUUUUCAAUGCA
This 1993-nucleotide long non-coding RNA is filed under the name Pogonomyrmex barbatus (red harvester ant). RNAcentral describes it as "uncharacterized LOC105428226, transcript variant X1". The record is from RNAcentral. Lineage: Eukaryota; Metazoa; Arthropoda; Insecta; Hymenoptera; Formicidae.